UACGUAGGUGGCAAGCGUUAUCCGGAUUUAUUGGGCGUAAAGGGAACGCAGGCGGUCUUUUAAGUCUGAUGUGAAAGCCUUCGGCUUAACCGGAGUAGUGCAUUGGAAACUGGGAGACUUGAGUGCAGAAGAGGAGAGUGGAACUCCAUGUGUAGCGGUGAAAUGCGUAGAUAUAUGGAAGAACACCAGAGGCGAAAGCGGUUCUCUGGUCUGUAACUGACGCUGAGGUUCGAAAGCGUGGGUAGCAAACAGG
Molecule: ribosomal RNA, 253 nt
Filed under: uncultured bacterium
Lineage: Bacteria
Description: partial 16S ribosomal RNA
Rfam family: Bacterial small subunit ribosomal RNA
Source: RNAcentral